Molecule: transfer RNA, 69 nt
Filed under: Menida musiva
Lineage: Eukaryota; Metazoa; Arthropoda; Insecta; Hemiptera; Pentatomidae
Description: tRNA-Gln
Source: RNAcentral
UAUAUUUUAGUGUAUGAUGCACAGGAAAUUUUGAUUUUCCAAGUUUUGGUUUAAUUCCAUAAAAUAUAA